UUUUCAGCUGAAGCUAAAAAUUAUGUUUAGUAAACACAUAAAAAUGGAUUCUUAGAGAAUCUGAAAGCUGUUUUUCAUCUGAAAUCAGAAGCAGCUCACUUGCUGUUUCUGAUUUCAGAUUGCGUGGGAAUCUGAAGCAUUUCAUUAAUGAAAUUUUUGUUAUUCCCAAAAUAACCCUCUUCGUGCGCACAUCUCCUCAGCCACUCCCUGAAACUCUCAGCCUCUCAACCUCCUCUCGCAACCUCCUCUCGUGCUCUCUCGCCUCAGCCUCCCUCAGCCUCAGCCUUCGCUCUCUCAGCCAAAGCUCUCUCCCUCCGUUUAUCUUUCUUCUCUCUCUCGGACUCCCUCUCUCCGUUUAUCUCCUGCGAUUGUCGGCGGCGGAGUCCCCAAGUCCGGCGGAGCCAUUUCCAAGGGCUAUAACUUCGCUUCUCACUGGGAACAGAAUGCUCCUUAGACAGAGCAACAGCAAGCCGCCAUUGUGACUCUCUCUCAUGCCGUCGCCGAUCGGCCGUUUCCUCUCAAUUUGGCCAAAGACCGUGCCUCCGGGCAGGAGAAUGGCUUGUCCGUUUCCACGAAGGAGAACGCCUCGGGCUUCGAACACUCUGGAGCUGCAGAAGCCGUUCUCGUCAAUACAAAUCAGACAGAGGAGAAGUAUCGGCAGUAUGCGAAUACAUUGACUGGGCGGAUAGAGACAUGUGAUGGCAUACUUCGCCAGGUGGAUGACACCUUAGACUUAUUCAAUGAAUUACAGCUGCAACAUCAGGCAGUAGCAACAAAGACAAAAACUCUUCAUGAUGCAUGUGACCGGCUGGUAAUAGAGAAGCAAAGACUAAUAGAAUUUGCGGAAGCACUUCGCAGUAAGCUCAACUAUUUUGAUGAAUUGGAGAAUGUAAGAUAUCUACCAACUUUUAUUCUCCAAAUAUGAAUGUUGUAAAUCAGAACUUUCUCCCUCUGCUCAAACGACUUGAUGACUGCAUAUCGUAUGUUGAAAACAAUCCACAGUAUGCGGAAUCCGGUGUUUACUUGCAGGUCUACAUAUUUAUAUGAUACAUUGCGGCCAAAACUUAUUCACGAAACAAACAUCGAAUAUGGUGGUCUCGUGUCUGUGAAUGGAACGGAAUGGCAUAAUUUUUUAAGAAAAGGCGAUGGGCCAAUUGAUAUUUUUUAGAAGGCAAAGUUCUAUGCAUUGCUAUGGGCUGCUUCAGGUUCCCGUUUACUUUGGCCAUUUUGAAUUAGAAAGAUGUAAUAGGGAAUUGAUUUGAGAUAUCGUUUAUGUGUUUAUCUUGCUCUUUUUGUAUGUUAGUCAGUUUUUCACACCUGGUCAUUUUUGUUUCUUUUUGGUUUGAGGAUUCCUUGUCCUCUGCUCUUGUUAUUGAAUUUUAUCAAUAAAAUUUUUAUUAUCAAAAAAA
Morus notabilis is the source of this 1409-nucleotide long non-coding RNA. RefSeq lists it as uncharacterized. Lineage: Eukaryota; Viridiplantae; Streptophyta; Magnoliopsida; Rosales; Moraceae. The transcript is spliced from 8 exons. The record is from RefSeq and is a predicted model, not a curated record.